AUUAUAUGUGGUUUAGCGCAAAAUAGACGCAUUGUUUUGCCUCACAUCGGGUCAAUGUUUCUGUCUCAUUCUGCUUUUUCUCUUCGUCUCCCCUAUAUCCAAGUUUCUAGAGCACUAGAUUUCUUUCAAACUUCAUACAUUUUGUGGCUAAUUUGCCUCAGGUCUAAUCUAUCUAUUGUGGAUAAAGUUUUAAGCGUUGAAGAAAGGUGAAUCCAAGGUGUUCGAUGAUAUGCCUAAAUAACCUAACUAUUUGGCAAGAAUUUUCAUUGUUUCUUUUUUGCUAUGAGCCAGGAAAUUAGGGUUGCAUUGAUGUACUUAGAUAUUAGUCUUCACCUCUUCAAAUCUUUGUUAAGGUUUACAUAGUUUUUACGUUUUGGUAUGAUAAAAAUAUUUAGCCCAGAUGCAAAAUCUGUUGUUGAAAAUGUUUCUUGUGUGAAUUAUAAUCAUAAUGCCUAGGUAAUCAAUGUGUGUGCUUAUAGCUAUUAUAAAUCAACUAGAACUGAUUCUUCUUUAUUUAGACACUUAUCACAUUUUCCUUUCUUGGUGUAUAGUAACUUUUUCCCCAAAUAAAUAAUCAAAAUUUUAAGGGAACAGGGAAGUGAAACUAUUGAUACUCAAAGGUUCUUUGUCUCAUUUUUUUCAUCUUCCGUAAGUUAUUCAUAUGUAAUUGUAGCAGGUAAAUAUAUCUUCUUUGUUCCUGUCUGUAGCCUUCGCUUGAAA
Solanum pennellii is the source of this 720-nucleotide long non-coding RNA. RefSeq lists it as uncharacterized. The record is from RefSeq and is a predicted model, not a curated record. The transcript has 2 exons. NCBI's taxonomy places the organism in Eukaryota, Viridiplantae, Streptophyta, Magnoliopsida, Solanales, Solanaceae.